Molecule: ribosomal RNA, 365 nt
Filed under: uncultured phototrophic eukaryote
Lineage: Eukaryota
Description: SSU rRNA
Rfam family: Bacterial small subunit ribosomal RNA
Source: RNAcentral
UACGGGGGAUACAAGCGUUAUCCGGAAUCAUUGGGCGUAAAGCGCCUGUAGGUUGUCUACUAAGUCUGUUGUUAAAGAUUAGGGCUUAACCCUAGAAAAGCAAUGGAAACUUGUAGACUAGAGUAUGGUAGGGGUAGAGGGAAUUUCUAGUGUAGCGGUGAAAUGCGUAGAUAUUAGAAAGAACACCAGUGGCGAAAGCGCUCUACUGGACCAUUACUGACACUCAGAGGCGAAAGCUAGGGUAGCAAAAGGGAUUAGAUACCCCUGUAGUCCUAGCCGUAAACGAUGGAUACUAGAUGUUGUGUAUAACAGUAUCGUAGCUAACGCGUUAAGUAUCCCGCCUGGGGAGUACGCUCGCAAGGGUG